Spinacia oleracea (spinach) is the source of this 1821-nucleotide RNA transcript. It is a transcript of the gene named formyltetrahydrofolate deformylase 2, mitochondrial-like, with no coding region annotated. NCBI's taxonomy places the organism in Eukaryota, Viridiplantae, Streptophyta, Magnoliopsida, Caryophyllales, Amaranthaceae. The record is from RefSeq and is a predicted model, not a curated record. The transcript is spliced from 10 exons.
UUGGUUGGCCACCAUUUUUUCCCAGAUCAGGUAACUUUUUUAUGGAAAAUGGGAGGCACCCAUCUUCACCAAGAGGAGAGAGAAACUGAGUAAUUCAAAAUUAUGAAUUUCUUCCGAAAAAUUUCUUCACAAUCCCAGUUUUUCAAAGUUACGCAGAGAUCCCUUAAAUCCUUGAUUUUUCCUGGGGAGUCCCUAGAUCCUCCUCUCGUCCACGGCAUCCAUGUCUUCCAUUGCCCAGAUGCAGUUGGUAUAGUGGCAAAGUUAUCAGAGUGUCUAGCUUCAAGAGGUGGAAACAUAUUAGGAGCUGAUGUGUUUGUACCAGAAAAGAAGCAUGUCUUUUAUUCAAGAAGUGAAUUUGUUUUUGAUCCUUCUAAAUGGCCAAGGGAGCAAAUGGAUGAAGACUUCCUCGAAAUCGCUAAAAUGUUCAAUGCAAUGAAAUCAGUUGUUCGUGUGCCUGAUUUGGAUCCGAAAUACAAAAUUGCAGUUUUUGCUUCGAAACAGGAUCACUGUCUUGUUGACUUGCUACAUGCAUGGCAGGAUGGAAAACUGCCUGUAGAUAUAACUAGAGUGAUAAGUAAUCACGAUAGACAUCCAGAUUCCCAUGUGAUGCGUUUCCUUGAAAGGCAGCAAGUUCCUUACCAUUUUCUGAAGGAAAUCGCUGGAAACGAAAGAGAGGAGGAGAUCCUGGAUUUGGUCCAGGACACAGAUUUUCUCGUUCUUGCUCGGUACAUGCAGAUAUUGUCAGCAGAUUUUUUGAAACGGUAUGGAAAAGAUGUCAUUAACAUCCACCAUGGUCUCUUGCCAUCAUUCAAGGGUGGGAAUCCUUCAAGACAGGCGUUUGAUUGUGGAGUAAAAUUGAUUGGUGCCACAACUCACUUUGUAACAGAAGAACUCGACGCAGGACCCAUUAUUGAACAAAUGGUUGAGAGAGUUUCGCACAGAGAUAAUUUGCGGAGUUUUGUACAAAAAUCAGAGAACCUUGAGAAACAGUGCCUCUCAAAGGCAAUAAAGCAUUACUGUGAGCUACGUGUUCUACCGUAUCUGGAUAACAAGACCGUUGUGUUUUGAGGAAAAAUGGUUGAGACUCAUCAAAUAUUAAUGGUCAAAAUUGUGGCAAAGAGGUGAGAUAUACCUUUCUUCGCGUGCUGCAUUAGUUCACCAACGCAGGGGAAUUUCGGCUCUUCGGCUUCACUGUGUUGCAGCGGCUGCAGUCAGAGUCAUCAGAUCACCAGGGCUCUUAAUAUCAACAGCUGAUCUGACAGCUAACGCAACACGAUCAUGAUCAGCGCCCGCUUGCUCAGCAAUCUCGAUGCAGUGAGACGCUAAGAGUUCGGUGGCUGAUGCAACGGCUCUGCUCAUUUUUGAGGAAUUAUCAGGUGCAGAAACUGCGGCAACACCAGCAAGUGCUGCUGCAAGACCUGCAAUUGAAAGAGCAGCAUGCAUAUGUGCAUUCUCUGCUCUUGCCCUGUCCUUUCUCCUAAACGAGUUUAGAUUUGAUUUUGAUUCCUUGUUGUGGUGGAACCACUUCCCUAUUCCCCCCAUUCUCCGGUUCGAACCACUGUUCUUCAAUUUAUCAACCUGAUCAGUUUUAGCCAACAGAAAAUACUCAGAUCAGGAAAUUUUCGCGCUUUCUGACAAUGAAAUAUGAUAUUGAGAAACACUGAUAGAAAGUAGUUUCAGAAUGUAUAGAAACUAGUUUUCAAUUUACCCACCUACUCUGUUUUAGCUUCAAAAAAAUACUAAGAUUCAGGAAAUUUUAGAAAAAAUUGUGACAAUGGAUUCAGACAUUGAGAAACACUGAUAGAAAAUAGUUACAGCAUG